This 1297-nucleotide long non-coding RNA is filed under the name Mus musculus (house mouse). RNAcentral's name for it is "long non-coding RNA chr11:114678902-114680199". The record is from RNAcentral. Lineage: Eukaryota; Metazoa; Chordata; Mammalia; Rodentia; Muridae.
UUUUUUUUUUUUUUUUUUUGGUUUUUUGAGACAGGGUUUCUGUGUGUAACCCUGGCUGUCAGUGCUGGGAUUAAAGGCGUGCACCACCACCACCCGGCGAUAUUGAACUUCUUGAUGAUAAUGAUAUUGAACCCCUACCUCUACCUUCAACGUGCUAGGAUUACAGGUGUGUGCGUCCAUGCCUUGUUUACAAGAUACUGGGGGGUGGAACCCUGGGUUUCCUACUUGUGGGACAGGCACUUUACCAACCGAGCUACAUCUGCAUUGAGCCCUCCUUUUUAUUUUAUUUAUUCACUUAUUUAUUUUUGAGUCAGAGUCUCCCUGUGUAUUUGAGGCCAGCUUCCACCUGGCAAUCCAUUUGCCUUCGUACCUUACAGUAUGGAACUACAGCUGUGUGUCACCUUUCCUGCCCUCUGCCUGGUGUCCUUGGGCACAGUGGAAGUUCCUAGUUUCCUGUAGUUGGUCUUCCUCAUCCUCCCCCUCAUUGAACUUGAGCCUUCGUUCUCAGGGAGCCUCUACAUUCCCAGCCAUUUGCAGGAAGUGGCUGUGGGCCCGUCGGGGGCAAGCAGGGCAGUAGACCCGGAAUUCUGCUGGGCUGGGUGUCUGCAGCAGGGAGCAGCCUGGAUCCCUAUCCCACAUCUCAUCGCCUUUGUCAGGAGCGCAAGCCUGGAAGUUGGAGAUGAUCUCUGCUUCAGAGAUCUCGCAAAAGGGCUCAGGAGUUCACAGGAGGGAAGCAGGUGGCCAAUGCUGUAAUCCCUGCCUGAGAAGGAGGCCCUAGUUGGCUAGGUGCCCAUUCGGCAGCCCCGAGGACAGUUAGAAAGUUACAAAGUUGAGCUGUGUCUCUCAGAGAAGCCACUUCAGUUCCCUUCUUAUCUGGGGAAUUAUUGUUACCCUCACUGUCCACCAGCUACUCAGGAGAGGCCAGACUCUGAUGAUGUCAUGUCCGUAGGACUUCCUGUUGGAUCUGAGGACAGCACACCCAUCUCGGGCCUUCUGCGGGCCAUGUGAGAGGAGAUACAGGAGGAGUUCGUUGUCGUGGUUUGGCUUGGAUUUCCUUGAGUCCCAGUGUCCUGAGAGUCCCCAGUGAGAAGCCGAGGAUGUAGCUCAGUCGUGAGUGAGCCUAGCACGCACAAAGUCCCGAGUCCCAUCCCCAGUACCCUAUGAAACUGUGGUGACACACGUCUGGAAUCCCAGCACUUGAGAGGCAGAGUCCAGUGGGAUCUUUGUGAGUUCUAGACCAGCCUGGCCUACAUAGUGAGUUCCAGGCUAGCCAGGGCUAUAGAGAGACCCUGCCAUU